UACGUAGGUCCCAAGCGUUAUCCGGAUUUAUUGGGUUUAAAGGGUGCGUAGGCGGGCUAUUAAGUCAGUGGUGAAAGCCCCAAGCUUAACUUGGGAACUGCCAUUGAUACUGAUGGUCUUGAGUACAUUUGAGGUGGGCGGAAUGUGUCAUGUAGCGGUGAAAUGCUUAGAUAUGACACAGAACACCGAUUGCGAAGGCAGCUUACUAAGUCGUAACUGACGCUGAUGCACGAAAGCGUGGGGAGCAAACAGG
This 253-nucleotide ribosomal RNA is filed under the name uncultured bacterium. RNAcentral's name for it is "partial 16S ribosomal RNA". It matches the Rfam family "Bacterial small subunit ribosomal RNA", at positions 524 to 776 of the family's 1533-position model. The record is from RNAcentral.